Symsagittifera roscoffensis is the source of this 514-nucleotide long non-coding RNA. RefSeq lists it as uncharacterized. Lineage: Eukaryota; Metazoa; Xenacoelomorpha; Acoela; Convolutidae. The record is from RefSeq and is a predicted model, not a curated record. The transcript has 3 exons.
ACGCCACAACUGCUAUCCGACUCCACUCGGAGCUUCGAAACAGCUAGAGCAAUUUGUGAUGAUCUAGGCGAAUCUCUAUUCACAGGUGUUCACUGGUUCUACGAGGGUCGUUUUGGAGCGGAGUUCGACGGAUUGUUUGUUUGGACUGGUUUUCAACGCGUUGGACGAUCAGAUGAGUAUCGGGAUGAAACAGGUGAACAGUUUCUGCAAACAGGCUGUGCUGCAGUUUGGGCUGCUACCGAACCAUCUAGAGCAUCGUACGAAACACAAGUUCUGUUCAGCUUAAGUCUGAGUACGAACGAUGGCCUGUACGAUAAGAGUCCGGGGCAAGAAGAAGCAAGAGUUACAUGUGAUCAAUGGAAUCUUGAAGAAACCUCGACAUGUGAAAGUGAUUACUUCUCGUUGAUAUAAACAAAGGAGAGAAAACUUAGAGAUGACCGAGAACAAUCUUUGUUUUCAACCAGAUUUAGUUUUAAACCAGAUUGUGUAGAAUAAGUUUCGUUCCAAAAAGCUA